CGCCGCCGCCGCCUGGCGGUGUGUAAGGUGGAUAAGUAGAAGGUGGUGGAAUUGUUACCGGAGGGUUUGUGACAGGAGGAGUAAUUACCGGAGGAUGUGUAAUUGGAGGGACUGUGACUGGUGGUGGAGGAAAAAUGAUUGGAGGGGCAAUAAUUGGCGGCCUUUUGGAUGGUGGUGAUAAUUUCGGGGGGUGACCUCCAUGAUGUGGCGGGUGUUUGGUGCGUGGUGGGUUCGGGUGGGGAAUUUUCGGAUGAGUCUUCGGAGGGCU
This 268-nucleotide long non-coding RNA is filed under the name Citrus maxima (pomelo). Its description in RNAcentral is "long non-coding RNA (CMAX_LNC002122)". The record is from RNAcentral. Lineage: Eukaryota; Viridiplantae; Streptophyta; Magnoliopsida; Sapindales; Rutaceae.